GUGAGAAGACGGAGGAAGAGGCCCUGGCUGGGGCAAAUGAGGAGGAGGUGGGGCCGGGAACUGAGAAGGUGCAGGAGGAGGCUGCCUGCAUUGACGAGGCAGAGGAGGAGGCAGGCCCAUCCCUUGAAAAUGACGAGGAGUCCCCAGCCAGCGACCUGGUUGAGCAGGAAGACCAGCUUGCCCCCAAGGUGGACGGGAUGGACGAUGAAAGCCUAUGUUUCAUGGAGAGUCUGAGUGACAGCAACCAUGAUGAAAGUGAUACAGGUAAGAACAGCUCUCAGGUAGGAGCCAAUGGGAGAGGGAUCCCGGGACACUUGGGUGACGCCUGCUGCUUGGAGUGUGGGGCAGGUGAGUCUGAAACUUAAAAACAGAAAGAAAUUGAUGUAAAGAUGUUCACCGCCUACUUUAAUAAGGAGAGGGAGCAGAUAUGAGAUGCCUGAAUGUUGGCAUCUGUGCUCACCUUGUGUGGAAGGGUCUCAGUCCAUGGAGCAGAGGGAAGGUCUGGGCACCUGGAGGAAAAACCAGGGUGAUGCUCUGUACCCGUAGUCACCUCAGGGAAGCCGGAGAAACGGGAGGGCCACUCUUUCUAACUCCUUGAUUCCCCUGAUGGUGUGUUUCUACAGACUCAGUGGUGGAGAGCCUGAGCAGCCGCCAGGAUGAGGAGGCUGCAGGUAGGGAAGAGCACGCAGCUGGGAUCCAGUGGGAGAGGGUUCCUGGGAGCACCUGGGUUCCGCCUGCUGCCGGGAGAGGGAGGAAGUGGGGGAUAGGACUUGGCGGGUGGGUGGGUGGGUGGCCUAAUGAGUGGCACUCUGCUGUGGUGUUUUCCCC
Molecule: long non-coding RNA, 828 nt
Filed under: Sus scrofa (pig)
Lineage: Eukaryota; Metazoa; Chordata; Mammalia; Artiodactyla; Suidae
Description: lncRNA (ENSSSCG00070007489.1)
Source: RNAcentral